UAAGCUCUCAGAAAUCAAAUUUUUCAGAACUAUUUACAGUACAGAUUGACUGUUUUUAUUAUGAAUUUCAGUAGUAAUUGAUUUUUUAAGCCAACUUUGCUGAACAAUAUUUAGAGGUUCCUAAUUUCUGAAUUAUUAAUAUCAUUUCUUGACAGUUCAAAACAAGAUCACAAAUUUUAGACAACUUGUAAUCAGCACUUUGAUAAUUUCCUUUAGGGGGACAUGUCACAGAUGGAGAAGGAGCACCAGCUGUUACAAGAGCAGCUUAAGGAAGCGUGGGAGAAUUACAAGCAGAUUAAACUCCAGAGCUCAGAUGAAACCAGGGACCUGGAAGAAAAGUUGAAGAGGAACAUGGAAGAAAGCAAGAUCUCAAAGACAGAAUUAGAUUGGUUCCUCCAAGAUUUGGACAGAGAAAUUAAAAAGUGGCAACAAGAGAAAAAAGAAAUCCAAGAAAGACUGAAAACGCUGAAGAAAAAAAUGAAAAAGGCUCUAAAUGCCGGUGAAAUGUAAGUAACAGCUGAAGGCGGUGUUCUUAGACCCGGGCGUUUCUGCUGCUGCUCCUGUUCUUCAUACUGCAUUCCAAAUAAAAAAUUAAAAACUAGACACUUCCCAGUGCCUGUCUGCCUUUUCGAAAGCAUCCAUUGAAUGAUUCUUUAAACUGUCUGAACCAGCAUGUUUUCAGACGAAACCGAGAAUCCGUGGGGCCAGCCUCUCUGGGGGCCGAGCAUCACUGUGAACAUUACUUUCUUCCUCUGCCUUACUGAUGAAUGAAGGGCUAAGUCUAGAUUCUGUGAUGAUUAUGCUUACUUUUAUCCUGAAUCUUCAAAUAAUUAACGUUUGGUCUUACAAUGUGCAGGGUUUGCUAAUGUACCGGCCCUCAUUGUCAGAGGGCUGUCCUAGCUAGCUUGAGCUGUCAACUUGACAAAGCCCUGAGUCAUCUGAAGGAGUCUCAAUUGGGAUUUUACCCAGAUGAGAUUGGUCUGUGAGGAUUUGUCUUGAUUGUUCAUUGAUGUGAAAGGGCCCAGCCCACUGUGGGCAGCACUAUCCCUGUGCAGGUAGGCCUGGGCUAUAAGAAAGCUAGCUCAGCCUGACCAGAGAGCCAGCCAGUAAGCAGCCUUCCGUCAUGGUGCCUGCCUCUGCUCCUACUUGUUCCUGUCCUGACUCCCCUCAGUCGUGGAACAACCUGGAGGAAGGAGGUGAAAUAAAUCCUCCAGCCCUAACUUGCUUUCGGUCAUAAUGUUUGUGUAAAGCAGACCAGAACAGGGGCCAAGUGUGGUUUAAGCUCCUCUGACCCACUGCCACCCUCCUGCUGCUCUGAACAGUGACACGGCCCCUCGGUUUGCUUCCUGCUAUGUAAGAAGACAUCAGGCUAACUGCUUAGCAGCUCCUGUAUUUGUGUGUGGUCCUGCAGUCUGCACUGAGAGCUCAGCUGAGCCAGGCCUCUGCUGCUCUUGGCAGCAGCUCCAUGUCAGUGUGUUCCACUGGGAGUUGGCGGCACCUGGGCUCCAGUGGGAUGACUUGGCCUCCUUCCUCGAGAGUGCCAAGGUCUACCCCUUUCGUUGGAGCCUCUCCAUCAG
RNAcentral lists this long non-coding RNA (1577 nucleotides) under Nannospalax galili (Upper Galilee mountains blind mole rat). Its description in RNAcentral is "lncRNA (ENSNGAG00000024391.1)". The record is from RNAcentral. Lineage: Eukaryota; Metazoa; Chordata; Mammalia; Rodentia; Spalacidae.